UACCACUUGGUAAAAAUUAGGCUGACAAAGGCGUGGGUUAGUAGGCAACGAAAAUCUGCGAGGCUACAAGAAA
This 73-nucleotide non-coding RNA is filed under the name unclassified sequences. Its description in RNAcentral is "RT-18 RNA". It matches the Rfam family "RT-18 RNA". From Rfam's summary of the family: Clostridiales (Firmicutes). Nearby to self-splicing intron genes The record is from Rfam by way of RNAcentral.